GCCAGGCAUGGUGGCACAUGCCUGUAAUCCCAGUGGCUCUGGAGGCUGAGACAGGUGGAUUGUGAGCUCAAAGCCAGCCUCAGUGGCUAAGCAAUUCAGUGAGAACCAGUCUCUA
This 115-nucleotide small RNA is filed under the name Marmota monax (woodchuck). Lineage: Eukaryota; Metazoa; Chordata; Mammalia; Rodentia; Sciuridae. The record is from RNAcentral.